This 510-nucleotide unclassified non-coding RNA is filed under the name Hevea brasiliensis (rubber tree). Lineage: Eukaryota; Viridiplantae; Streptophyta; Magnoliopsida; Malpighiales; Euphorbiaceae. The record is from RNAcentral.
AUUUUUUUUUUUUUUUUGAAAUGGAUACUUUAAUUUUAGGGAGAGUAUAAAAAGAUACCUUGAGGUUUUGCACAGAUUCUUUGGGGCUUGUGGUUCCUUUUUGACAAAAUGGUACCUUGAGCUUUACUUCGUUAGCAUUUUAAUGACAAAUGCUCUAACAUUGAUAAUUUUGCUGACUUGGAAGUACAAACCCAAUAAAUAAUAUUUUUUAAAAGAUGUCUAAUAUGAAAAUCAUAAAAAAUUGAAUUUAUAAUUUUUAGUGAAAAGAAAAAGUUUUAUUUUAUUUUAACUAUCAUAUGUUAUCUUGUCAUCAUAAGUAAUGACAUUAGAGCAUUUGUUCUUAAAGUGCAAAUGGAGAAAAGUUCAAAGUACCAUUUUGUCAAAAAUGGUAUCAUGAGAUCUUUUCUAAGUGCCAAAGAGCGAAAUUUCAAGAUAUAUAUAUAUAUUGUACUUUAAUUUUAUUUUUGGGAUGGUUUAAUCUAAGCUCUUUAUUGAUGUUUCAGGAACCAU